UCACAUAAUAAUCGGCCAAAGGAAGUUGAAAAACUGCUCCUCACACAAAAUGUAAUUGCAGCCGAGUCGGCUUUUCCCUCUCCCUUAGCCGCCGAGUCGGCUUUUUCUUCUGGAAUAAAAUGCCUUUUGUCGGUCAUCACAGCCGAGUUGGCUGCCUCCAAAUCCCACUAACCACCGAGUCGGCUUUAGUCUCUGAAAAAAUACUUCAAACACAGUCAUUACAGCCGAGUCGUCUUCAACCUAUGCCCACCACGCCACUGAAUUCCUACUUGAACCCAGCCAGUGAUUCAUCUAAAACCCAAGAUAAGACUCGAGUCGAGUCACCAUCUUCAACAGAGAUCAUCUUAUUCUGACUCUGAUUCAAACCUACAUUUUACACUUGAAUAUGCUUUUGUAGAUUUCCAAUUCUUACCUGCGGGAACUUUCUCUGAUCCUGGUCUGAAGUUAGAAUUACCUGCAUACGAGCUUAGGGUUACUGGAAUUAGCAAAAAUUCAGGAUCUUGAUUUUGACCUGGAAAGCAUUUACACAAAUCCGUUGCUCUGUUGUUAUUAUUCGGCAUCACGCAUAUGUUAAAUUGUGGUCUUUUUUAAUAGAACCCCCAAUUUCACUGAAGAAAUUCCUGAAAAUGCGGAGGCUGAAGCCAUUAUCAACCAGAAAAGUCCUUUUGGGCAAAAUAUGUCGUCCUGGUUGACAUUUUGACCAAUUAUUAUUGAUUGUCUCUGUUGCAAUGAAUGGUUCUGAUCCCUCUAGAGCUGAUGCUCAUGAAUGGUAUGACACAAGCUAUGAAAAUGGCAGAGGAGCAGACAGGUCGGGAAUCAGGAGGGCAGCAUGGGGCUCCAAAUGCUGCCGUACGAAGAAGAUAGUCUUUUUAAGCUUCUGAUUUCUUGAGGUUCCUUUGAGAAACAUAGAAGCUGAUCCUCAAGUUCUGUUGGAGCAUAGAGACAUUUCUGCUGUGGGAAACAAUGAUCCUAAUUAAGAAGCUCUCUGGCAUAUGUUCUUGUUUCGCAGGAAUUCAAGCCUUUGGUCAUUAUGUGCAGUCAAAAGGAUAGAAAACAAAACUCGAACCUAUGCUAUGAUAACGUUUUGAUGUGAAUUUAGGUUUCGUUUUCUUAUGUUAGUUUGUAAGAUGUAUUUAUUUGGAUUUGCUAAAUUGUUUUCAGCAAGUUAAUAAAGAAAGUUUUGCUUUUUCUCAUCCUUCUAUCUUGUGCUGUUCAAAAUUAUGCUUAUGUUUGUCCAAAAUCUCACAACCGAAUGAUCAGAUUUGCAUUUAGCUAAAUUCUAAAAAAUUUCAUCAAACAACUCAUGAUUCAGGACAUUGGAGUACAUUUCAACUGGUCUUACAUGAAAUACCAUAUAUAUGCUGUAUCAUUGUUACUUAUCUGUGGUAUUCGUUCUCGGGAACUCGUACAACUCGAAAUAAUGGUGGAAACAUUUCUUUAGGUAACUCAUACAAUCCAAAAGUUUUCCUUUUCUUUUCUUAAAUUGAAAAGAAUACAACUGCACUUGACAGAUCGACGAAAAACAGGAGCUGAUACAAAAAUGUGUCUUUGACAUUCAGAGGGCCACUACGCAACAUUCGAAGAGCCCUUAAAGUUCAUCCUGCAAAACCAUACAGUGCAAGAAGAUGAUCACUUAACUGAAGAGAUUACUGAUGUUUGACAUAACCAGAAAGAAACAGCUGUGUGUAGAUUGUCAGAGAAGAGGAGAAAUGCAAGUUAAGGGUCCACAAUAUGUUUGGAGAAUAACCAAUGAAAAUUGAGAAUGCCAGCACGGACAUUGGCACAACCAUUGGUGUUGUUUAUCCACAUACUUAAUACCUCAAUUGUCAAAGUCUUGGUCUAGAAUUAGAUAAUGGUAUGAAUUUGUGAUCAUUGUUCACCAAUGACUUUUCCAUGGAGCAUUUUGCACUUUAAAUGAAGACUUAACUCUAUUAUUUUAUGUUCAGAUUGAUGAUCUUUUCAUUUACUUUUUUAAUAGUGUGUAAGUGUAUUAUUUGCCAAAAAAUAUUAGAUACAAAUAAUUGUUACGUGAGUUUCAAGUUUAAAACAAAACUUUGCAAAAUGUUUACCUUGGCUUACUAGUUUAUGUAAUCAAGAGUUUCUAGUAGGGUGACCCAGUGUCACCAUAAUGUUAAAUACACAAUAUUUCAAAGUAGUUAUAUUUCAUGCAACAAUUUCAAAAUCCUUUAACAUGAUAGUACAUUUAAUGUUUAAAUGAUAUAUAAAUUUGAUCUUUUAAAUCAAACAAUGAAAAUAAAGUGACAAAUUACUCGCAAUCCAUCAAAUAAACUAUAAGUCCUUUUGAAUUAAGAAAUUAUCGCACUUAUCUAAACUCAAACUGUUUAUUUGUGCUUAUUUCGGGUCAUAUAAGUAACUUGAUAAUCUUGUUUGAACUUUUCCUAACUUAUAUUGACAAUUCACCGAGCACAAAGGUUAGUCUAAACUACAAACUAGAUCGGACUAAUUCAUAUGUUAUGAUUUUCAAUCCCAAAAUUAUGCAUUUGGAAGCAGGAAAUUAAAUUUCUUUACGACAUGGAUGACUUCCAUGUUUAGAAGUGACAAAAUCCAAGUCUUGCAAGUCUUUUUUGCAGUAUUCCCAUUGCAAUGAUGACAAUUGACUGCCGACUUGCACAAUGGGGAAAGCAAAUAAUACGAUAAAACUAAACCCAUAGGAGUAAUGUGUAUAGAAAAGAGAGAAAGAAACGAGAACAUAAAGAAAGUUCCAAGUUGUAGCUUUCAUUGGAAAACGAGAUCAAAAAUUCGGUGCUGCGGUGCUCUGAAACACAAAUACUGGCAUAAAUGAAUACAGGGUCAUUUCGUGCUCGAAAUAUACAGUAAUUAUUGUAAACUCAGGCAGAAUGAUACUGUUGUAACACCACCUUUGAAAAAAAUGGUCUCUA
Molecule: long non-coding RNA, 2900 nt
Organism: Amaranthus tricolor (Joseph's coat)
Lineage: Eukaryota; Viridiplantae; Streptophyta; Magnoliopsida; Caryophyllales; Amaranthaceae
Exons: 3
Source: RefSeq, a predicted model, not a curated record